AUGAAUGAUGAUCUAACCAAGCCAUACACCGCAGAUGAGGUCAAAGUGGAUUUGUUCCAAAUGGCUCCAUCUAAGGCCCCUGGUGUUGACGGCUUUACUGCAGGGUUUUAUCAGCAGCAUUGGGACUUGCUCGGCAAUGACGUGACUUUGGCAGUACUAGAUUUUCUGAAUGGGGGCGAGUUACCAUCGGGAUUGAACGAUACCAGCAUCACUCUUAUUCCCAAGGUACGGCACCCACCGUCAAUCUCACAAUAUCGUCCCAUUGCUUUGUGCCCGGUCCUUUACAAGAUCGCGACCAAAGUUAUUACUAAUCGCUUGUGAUACAUCAUGGAUGAUAUUAUUAGUGAAGAGCAGAGCGCUUUUGUUCCUGGUCGUCUCAUCACGGACAAUGUACUUGUUGCAUAUGAAAGUAUACAUAUGAUGAGAAGAAGGAAGAAAGGGAAGAACUUCUCUUGUGCAGUUAAGCUAGACAUGAUGAAGGCUUACGAUCGGGUGGAGUGGCAUUACCUCGAGGCGAUUUUGUCUCGUCUGGGCUUCAGUAUUAAUUUCAUUCGCCUGAUAAUGAAGUGUGUCACCUCGGUUCGUUUUUCGGUUCGGGUUAAUGGAGAGCUUCUUCCAUUCUUCACCCCAUCUCGGGGUUUUCGAAAAGGUGAUCCAGUUUCUCCAUACCUAUUUUUGCUUUGUGCAGAAGGUUUUUCCUCAUUGUUGAAGUUUUACAAUGAUGGAUACAUUGAUCGGGGACUAAGAGUGAGCUAUAGAUCACCCUGGGUCUCUCAUUUGCUGUUUGCAGACGACAGUCUAAUCUUCAUUAAUGCAAGCGCUGCCAGUGCUUUCCGUCUGAACGAAAUUCUGAAGAUCUAUGGUGAUGCUUCGGGCCAGUGUGUGAACCGGGACAAAAGCUUUAUUUAUUUCAGCACCAAUACCCCGGACACCAUCAGGCAAGAUUUGAAGUCGACCUUGAAUAUUCAAGUCGAGGCUUUCAGUGAGAGAUACUUGGGGCUCCCCACUGCGGUUGGACGUAUCACCAAUGGUACUUUUGAUCAUAUUAGUGAGAGAGCUCGUGGGAAGAUGCAAGGGUGGUCGGAAAAAUUGCUUGCAUGUGCUGGAAGAUGCUCAAGUCUGUAA
RNAcentral lists this ribosomal RNA (1125 nucleotides) under Triticum aestivum (bread wheat). Its description in RNAcentral is "partial small subunit ribosomal RNA". Lineage: Eukaryota; Viridiplantae; Streptophyta; Magnoliopsida; Poales; Poaceae. The record is from RNAcentral.